UUCUUCAUGCUUUGCCAGAUUUGUAUCAUUUUUUUUAUUCUUUUAUUUUUCAGUAUAAUCACUAGAGUAAUGACCAUACUUCUGACAAUUGAAACACUGAAUGUGACUUUUGUGAGAUUUUCGUCCACCACCUCUUCCUCUACUUGCAACACCACCUCCGUGGUUGCUUUGGUAUGAGGGUCUUCUUUGAAUAAAUGAAUUUCC
RNAcentral lists this long non-coding RNA (204 nucleotides) under Lathyrus oleraceus (garden pea). Its description in RNAcentral is "Pisum sativum (pea) long non-coding RNA (PSAT_LNC000936)". Lineage: Eukaryota; Viridiplantae; Streptophyta; Magnoliopsida; Fabales; Fabaceae. The record is from RNAcentral.